This 550-nucleotide transfer RNA is filed under the name uncultured cyanobacterium. RNAcentral's name for it is "16S-23S ribosomal RNA intergenic spacer". The stretch from base 210 to 282 matches the Rfam family "tRNA". Lineage: Bacteria; Bacillati; Cyanobacteriota. The record is from RNAcentral.
CAGGGAGACAACAAAAUGUAAAUAUUAAUUUUGUCACCUUAGGUCGAUCGGUAUCUCAGAUUCUUAUUAUUUAACAAUUUCAGUUUCUAAGUUUUUUCUAGGUCACACCCAUCACUUUUUCCUGGGCCAUUAGCUCAGGUGGUUAGAGCGCACCCCUGAUAAGGGUGAGGUCCCUGGUUCAAGUCCUGGAUGGCCCAUAUCUCUAUGUUGGGGGUAUAGCUCAGUUGGUAGAGCGCCUGCUUUGCAAGCAGGAUGUCAGCGGUUCGAGUCCGCUUACCUCCACUGAAUACCACCUCUUACAUAUAGUUGAAGUGGGAAAUUGUUUUGAGUCGUGUCCUAAUUUGCUCUGAGCGAAUCUAGCUUCCUAUUUUAUCCAAGAAAUAAGAUGCUGGACUCAUUGAAUUUUUUUUCAUUGUUUUCAGAGAACCUUGACAACUGCAUAGAUUAUUUUUAAAGACAAUAAGCAUCUUUAAUGAUGCGGAUUUAUUAUUUGUGCGAAUGCAUUAAAUAACAAUUCUAUUAAGCUGAUGCUUCAAUUAUUGAAGUUAUU